CGCCAGCCCGCUCAGAAACUCAAAUGCAGUUGACGGGGGCCCGCACAAGCGGUGGAGUAUGUGGUUUAAUUCGAUGCAACGCGAAGAACCUUACCUGGUCUUGACAUCCCGGAGACCCUUAGGAAACUAGGGGGUGCUUCCAUCUGGAAGAAUCUGGAGACAGGUGCUGCAUGGCUGUCGUCAGCUCGUGUCGUGAGAUGUUGGGUUAAGUCCCGCAACGAGCGCAACCCUUGCCUUUAGUUGCCAGCAGUUCGGCUGGGCACUCUAAAGGGACUGCCGGUGUUAAACCGGAGGAAGGUGGGGAUGACGUCAAGUCCUCAUGGCCUUUAUGACCAGGGCUACACACGUACUACAAUGGCCGAUACAAAGGGCAGCGACACUGCGAGGUGAAGCCAAUCCCGUAAAAUCGGUCUCAGUCCGGAUUGGAGUCUGCAACUCGACUCCAUGAAGUUGGAAUCGCUAGUAAUCGUGGAUCAGCAUGCCACGGUGAAUACGUUCCCGGGCCUU
Molecule: ribosomal RNA, 507 nt
Filed under: uncultured Desulfobulbus sp.
Lineage: Bacteria; Pseudomonadati; Thermodesulfobacteriota; Desulfobulbia; Desulfobulbales; Desulfobulbaceae
Description: bacterial SSU rRNA
Rfam family: Bacterial small subunit ribosomal RNA
Source: RNAcentral